Molecule: ribosomal RNA, 253 nt
Filed under: uncultured bacterium
Lineage: Bacteria
Description: partial 16S ribosomal RNA
Rfam family: Bacterial small subunit ribosomal RNA
Source: RNAcentral
GACAGAGGGGCCAAGCGUUAGGCGGAAUCACUGGGCUUAAAGCGUGUGUAGGCGGGCGAUCAAGUACCUUGUGAAAUCCCACGGCUCAACCGUGGAACUGCUGGGUAUACUGGUUGUCUUGAGCCAGCUAGGGGCGAGCGGAACAGACGGUGGAGCGGUGAAAUGCGUAGAGAUCGGAAGGAACAUCAGUGGCGAAGGCGACCACCUGGACUGUCACAGACGCUGAGGCGCGAAAGCGUGGGGAGCAAACAGG